UAUCUUCCCCUCCCCCCACCUGUAGACGGCUCGUCGAGGCUUCCCCCCCACCUCUGCCCUUCACCUCCUUGACAGCCCGCAGCUCCUCCCCUUUCGCCGGUCUUCCUCCAGAUCCAGUCGGCAGUCGCACCUCCAGAUCCAGUCGGCCGGUCUUCCCUGUUGGCCGAUCUCCCUCCAGAUCCAGCCGCUCCUCCAGAUCCAGUCUCCCUGUCGGCCGGUCUUCCAGAUCCAGUCGGUCUUUCUUGCCGCUUCUGGUCGGAGUUUGAAGCGAAGUCAGGCUGGUGGCGGUGAGGGACGCAGAGUCCGGCGGCAGCGCACGGCACGGCGGAGGGCGUGGGGCCUAAUCGCCGCUGUGUGCUGGUUUGACCGGAGGCGGCGACCAUCCCUAAUAUUUUUCUUCAGAAAAUCUUGAUUUGGAAUGGUGUCAACCACUUUAGUGAGAUAUAUAGGCGGCCGCGGCUUGUCGCCGCUGCGACGCCGAUGUGCACCAAGGGAAACCCCUUCUUCUUCCAGAACNUGACCCACCCUACCCCCACGUCGCCGCCAUCGAAGCGUAGCCACGCUUCGCGCUAUCGCCCACGUCGCCCCGUCGUCGUCGAAGCCCAGCUCGCGCAUGAACGCCCAACCCAGGUCACGUCGCCCCGUCAACGUCCGCCGCCGCCAAAGCCCCCAUUUUCCGCCGCGGAACUAGGGCUCAAAGCCCAGCCCUUGUCGUCCAACCUUACAUGUAUCCAAUAUGCAAUAAAUAUUCAAUAUCUAAUGUAAUAUCUUUAGUUGAAAUAAAAUACUCCAUUAAUUAUUCAUUGAUAAUGUCAUUGGUUGAAACAAAAUUAUGUAAUAUAUGUGAAUCAACAAGGUUAAUUUUAACUUAUAAGAUUGGUCGGGUAUAUAAUUUGUCGACUUCGAAGGUUUUCAGAAUGAAAUAUAUAAAGCAGAACUAUGUUUUCAUAAGUAAUCAAAUAUAUAAUACGGUUAAGGAAUCAUGCGCUCUCCUUAAUCCGGGGUCCUACGUGGCAUCAUAAGAAAUUAGGAUUUUAAAUCCCAGCAAUUCUAGAGCAUUUGAGUUUAUAAUAUCUAUCCUAUGUGGCAAAAUACCUCUUACAUGGCAUAUCUUAUUUUAAACAAUCUCUUAAAACACAAAAUGAAUAUUUCUCUUCCUCAAAUUCAAUUUUCCUAACCCCCGUCUCCACACAGCUCUCCCCUCCCCCGUCUGAAAUCGGCGCCGCGAUUCGCGUCACCGCCGCUGCAGGCGUCGUCGCUCCAUCUCCACAGCAGACUCCCCCUUCGGCCCUUCCCUGCCCCUAUUCGCCGGCGGCGUGGCCACAGUCCAGCCCCAAGUUGCGCCGCCGCCCCUUCCCCUGCAAGCCCUUCCAUCUGCAUCGCCGCCUCUUUCUUUCUUCAAUCGGCGGCUCCACCCCCCACCGCUCUCUCCGCCGCUCCCGCAGCCUCAGCCGCUUCUCCCGCCCCAUUGCGCCGGAGCCGGAGGCCGAGAUGGACUACAUCAAAAACGUGCCCAGGGGAAAAUUCGUCAACACCACGAGGGGCUCGACCUCGCUGGCACCAACCGCGAAUCGCCGAGCCCCUAGAUCCCCAAAGUCUCACCGCCUCUUUGUGAUUUCCGGCGACCACGGCAGCCAUGUCCGCCGAUCUGCCACCUCCCUUCCCCCAUAUGGUAAGUAUUAAAUGUUUGACUAUUUUAAAUAUAGAAUGAUUAUUAUUUUAGNAGUAAUUUAUACGAUUUAGGUUUGAAUCAGAAUAUGAAUCAGGAUCUGGCACGGGUCAAUCCAAUUGUACGAUACACCUAGUAGUAUCCAAGAUCACCUCAAUAAAAAAAUAUUUCACAAUAUAAAUUAAAUUUUAUUUUCUGUCCUUAAAUUGUAAAAAUUUAUUGUGAAUUCAUUAAUUUAUUAGAUAAAUUUAUGAUCAAAAGUUUGAAUCUAUAGGGAUCAAAUUUGUACACAUCCAUAUAUAUUUUAUAUUGAAUUUGUAUAUUUUCAUAACAAAUUUAUACAUAUUCUACACAUAAUUCACAAAUUCAUAAUUUUUUUUAAGCAAAUUGUCUAUUAAAUUUAUACUACUUUUAUAAUGAAUUUGUACAAAUUCUAUAUAAAUUCAUGAUUUUAUAAUUUAUAUUUUAAAUAUUUAAAUUUAUUCCUAAAUUACAUAGAAAAUGGUUUACCAUUGAAAGUUCAUCAUGUACAUAAAAUACUACUAUCAUUUAUCACAUAUUACCACUUCAUGUAUUUCUACACAUCUAUCUCAUUUUCAAACUCAUUAAUGUUUUACAUUCUUUUGCAUUAAUUAAUACAAUAAAAUCAGACAUAUUUCCUCCUAAAUACAUGUGACAUAUAAAAAAGAAUCAAUAUAUAAUACGAUUAAGGAAUCUUGCGCUCUCCUUAAUCCGGGGUCCUACGUGGCCUAUCUAAGAAUUCAAGAUUUAAAAUCCCUGCAAUUCUAGAACUUCUGGCAUAAUAUUAGUCAUCCUAUGUGGCAAAAUAUAUCCUACAUGGCAUAUCUUACUUUAAACAAUCUCUUAAAACACAAAAUGAAUAUUUCUCUUCCUCAAAUUCAAUUUCCCUAACCCCCGUCUCCACACAGCUCUCCCUCCCCCGUCUGAUUCGCGUCACCGCCGCUGCAGGCGUCGUCGCUCCAUCUCCACACCAGACUCCCCCUUCGGCCCUUCCCUGCCCCUAUUCGCCGGCGGCGUGGCCACAGUCCAGCCCCAAGUUGCGCCGCCGCCCCUUCCUCCUAUCGUUUCUCUGACCUUUCUGCAUCUCCACACCAGCCGCUGCAUCGCUAAAAAUCCCUUCCCCCGCAAGCCCUCCGAUCAUCGCCGCCUCUUUCUUUCUUCAAUCGGCGGCUCCACCCCCCACCGCUCUCUCCGCCGCACAUUCACCCUCACCUGCCUCUUAAUUCCUCCACCAGAUUUCCACCAACUGCACUCGGAUUCCAGUCGCCACCGCCGCCUUCACCGCGCCGGCCACCUCCCUUCCCCCGCAAGCCCUCCGAUCUGCAUCGCCGCCUCUUUCUUUCUUCAAUCGGCGGCUCCACCCCCACCGCUCUCUCCGCCGCUCCCGCAGCCUCAGCCGCUUCUCCCGCCCCAUUGCGCCGGAGCCGGAGGCCGAGAUGGACUACAUCAAAAACGUGCCCAGGGGAAAAUUCGUCAACACCACGAGGGGCUCGACCUCGCUGGCACCAACCGCGAAUCGCCGAGCCCCUAGAUCCCCAAAGUCUCACCGCCUCUUUGUGAUUUCCGGCGACCACGGCAGCCAUGUCCGCCGAUCUGCCACCUCCCUUCCCCCAUAUGGUAAGUAUUAAAUGUUUGACUAUUUUAAAUAUAGAAUGAUUAUUAUUUUAGAAAGAACAAAUUUUGGAAAGAUUUUUAACAAUGGAAACAUAAACCCUAGAUUUUUAUGUUAAUUAAUUUUCGGUAGCUGCAAAGAAAUUUUUUUGGAAACAAUUUUAUCAAAGGAAACUUAAACCCUAGAUUUUCAUCUAUAAAUUCAUUAGUUGAAUUAUUAAAGAUACAGCAGACGCAAGGUAACCUUCUUCUUCUUCUUCUUCUUCUUCUUCUUCUUUUGUUGUCUUUCUUUUCUUUUGUAUUAACGCGGCAAUACCUCCUUCUUCUUUUUCUUCUUUUUUCCAGAUUUUUUGUUUAGAGGAUUAAGGGAUUGCUUACUUCCCUGUUUUUACAGCCACACAAGGUAUCUUUCUUUCUUCUGUUGCUGCGUUUUUUCAUCUUUUGCUCUUCUUGAAUUUCGACUGAAUUUGGUGGCUAUGUGUAGAUUAGUUGCUUUACAUUUCCUUUUAGUGAUGAAUAAGUUUUGGGCUUUGAACUUUUGCUCAUUUUGUGUUGAAUUGCUAUUGAUUCGUGGAUUGGAGUGUAGGAGGUCAAGUAUUAUCAAUCUAUAAUAAUAAGCACACGCACAUACCUUUGAACAUUUCUAAGAGUUUGAUUGAAUUUGGAAUCAGUAACUGGAGGUGAAGAAGAAACUUCUUGCCGCUGUGCUCCAAAACUCAACGAGGGCCGUCGUUCAACCUUGCCUCCCCUUCCUGAAGACCCGCCACUGUCCCUGUGCCGUCGUCGGAGACUCCUCUGCCUCGACGAAAAAGGCAGCCACCCCGGGCUCUCGCAAGUGAAAUGAGAGUCUCACACAAACAGGUAAACUAAUAAUUGUUUAUGUGUAGUAUGUUGGGAACAAGCUUAGAAAUUGAUUGAGUUCCACAUCUAUCACUUCUGUCUAUUGAUCAUUGCUUCUGGUAGGGGUAGUUUCGGAACCCAUGGUAUUCUGAUCUGGUGUUUUUCGAGAUGAUGAAGAACUAUAUGAUUGGUUUUGGUUGAAUUUGCGGAUCUGAUGGAUGAUUGAUUCGUUUAUUUUGUAAUUGAAACUGGUGCUUUCAAUUUUGUAUCUAAUUUUCAUAUAUUAGUGGUGCUUUCAAUUUGUCGUGAUUCUUCGUGUUUAUCAAAUACUUUUUUUAUUAAAUAUGAGGGCUGAUUUUCGAUUGAAGAUGGGCUGAUUUUCGAUGGGUGUUGAUGGGUGAUUUAAAUUUAAAUAUGGACAGGUUGGAUUGAAGAUUGAAGAUACGAGGGAAGAGGAAGAAGAGGAGGAGAAUGAGCAUGAUGAAUGAAGAGGGCUAACAUUUUAGUGUUGUUGCCUCUGCAAAUGGCCCCAAUCCGAAGUAGGAGAAAACCAAGAACGGCCCCAAUCCGAGUAGUCUGAAGCAGGAGAAAACCAAGAAGUUGAUCUCCAGCAGCGCCCCAGAUCAUACUGAUCCAAAGCUGUCAAGUUUGCUACCGAAAAAGAAAGUUAAACGGAAGCCUGAUGCCAAGGUGGUCGAAGCCACAUUCCGCCUCGAGAAGCUGGUGGUUUCGUAGGGCGGAGAAACGACAUUAACUUGAUAAUCACUUGGGUGUUGUUUAUCUGUGUAAAGCAUUGAACUACCGUUGAUAGUUGAUUACAGUUGAUAGUUGAGUAGUUUUUUAGUUAGAUUUUUUGUUAUGGUGUAUUAAUCUUUGUGGUAAUUUUUGUAAUUAUUGCCACUGAACUACAGUUUAUAGAGGAUUUUGAAGGUUCUCUAUUACAAGUUAGAUUAGUUGUAGAGCUCAUAGAUUAAAUUUGGCCGUCUCUUUUCUCUUUUUGUUGUGGGGAAGGUUGACUACUAUUUUAUUGGUGAAUUAUGGAUUUAUAAUAUAUAUAAAUAUAUUUUAAAUAAAAAAAUAAAAUGUAUUUUUGAAAGUAUCGUAUCAUGGUUUUUGAAAAAAUGACGUAUUUAUGUUCCCGUAUCGUUUUCGUAUUAUGUAUUCGUCCCCAUACUUCAUAGAAUUAUUAUUCUAUUAUUCAACUAAUAUUUAUCGUUAUUUUCAAGCCUUGGCGGGUAUCCGAUAGGUAGCGGGUGACGGGUAUCUGGCAGGUGGCGGGUGAUGGGUAUUCACGGGUUGCGGGUAUGAGUGUAGCAAUGCUCCUACCUCUCAAGUCUUAACGGGUAGCGGGUGAUGGGUAUUCACGGGUUGCGGGUAUGAGUGUAGCAAUGCUCCUACCUCUCAAGUCUUAACGGGUAGCGGGUGACGGGUAUUCACGGGUCGCGGGUAUGAGUGGCAAAUCUCAAGUCUUAACGGGUAGCGGGUGACGGGUAUUCACGGGUCGCGGGUAUGAGUGGCAAAUAGUAGUGGGUGGAAAUAAUUUUUUUUAAUGUACGUUUCACUAAGUCAUGUUAAGGAGAUUAGUUCUCUUUAAUUUAUUUUUUCAUUUUAGUUUAAUGUGUAAUGUAGACCUAUAUCAUAUUAAUAAUUUUUUAGUGAAUAAUCUCCAUAAUUUAUAAAUACAUUAAGAAAUAAUUUUACGCUUUUUAUAUAUAAUUAUAACAUCAAAUGAUACCCGUCGAAAUUCGACGGGUUACACACUAGUUAUUAAUAAACUUAUAUGAUUAUGAUAUCCUAAAUGAAUUGUACUCAANCAUUCAUGCAUGAAAUGAAGUAGGAUAAUUUUAUGCUUUUUAUUUUUUAUGUUUUUCUUAAUGAUUAUAUUUAAUUUUUUAUAUUUUGCAUCUAUAUUUAUUUUUGAAAAAAAAAUGUAGAGACUGUAACUUUUUAUAUUUUUAUUUUCUUUAUUCUUUACACAAAACACAAUUUUACUAUUUUGUGUGAUUUCAUAUGGAUAAUAUAUGCAUCUAAAUUAAAGAUCAAGGAAAAGUUAUAACAUAGUAUAUAUUUAAUCUGAUAUAAAUAAAUAUAUAAAAUAUAAUGAUAAAAAAUUGAACAACAUAUGAAUAUGUUAUAAUAGUUUAAAUUUUCAGCAUAUUAUUUGAAUUAAAUAAUUUUUAUUUUUAAUAUUUUUCUUAUAUAGCAUUGUAUAUAUUACUAGAUUUGAUUAUUAAUUACAACUUUGAAUUUAAAAGUAGUUACAAAUGUCACAUAUUUUUAAAAAUGCUCCCAUAUUAAAAUUAAAAAAAAUGUUAGUUUACUCUUUACAAAAAUAGAACAAUGAAUAAUUUGUUUUAAAAUAAUUAAUAUUAUAAACUAACUACUAAUUAAUACAUUACUUACAAACUUCAAGUUCUCAAGAAAAAAAAAUCAUUUUUUCAAGAUAAAAUAUGCGAUAUGUAAUUAUACAUCUUAAAUUUAAUACAGGUAUAAAUCAAUUUAAAAUGAGCAAGUUAUUUUUUUCAAGUCAAAAUGAGCAAGUUGACUGUUAAUAAUCUCUCUCUCUCUCUCUCUCUCUCUAUAUAUAUAUAUAUAUAUAUAUAUAUAUAUAUAUAUAUAUACAACACUGUUAAUUUCUUGAAAAGUUGAGAAUAGUACAACACUGAAACAUUCUUAACAUUUUGUUAUUCUUCUCAUCAUUAUUUUUAUAUAUUUAUGAUAUUUUGAUUUUUCGUAUCUAAUUAUUUUGCAUUGAAAAUUUGUUAAUAUGAAACAAUGUCAUUAUUAUAAGAAGAUAGUAUAAUACUUCCACCAUCUACGAAAACACUUUUAUCAUUUUGGGUGUCCAGAAAGCUAUAAUACUUUUCACUUUAAGACAUGAUCUCACAUCUUUUCUUUAUCUUUUAUUUUUACAAAUACCACUUAUUUAUAAAACAUAUCAUCCUUAAUUUAAUCUCAAGUGUUCAUUUUUUAUAAUGGUAGAACCUUUUUCCACUACAUAAAAAUCACCACUCAUUUUAUGAAAAAUUGUCUACCGAUAGUGUCAUAUUUUUGUUUGAAUUGAGGAAGUAUAUUGUAUGUGUAGAUCGCGCAAGUCUAGAAUCAUAACCACCGCGCAUCGCGCGGGAGAUACACUAGUUAUAUUAAUCAACAAGGUUAAUUUUAACUUAUAAGAUAGGUCGGGUAUAUAAUUUGUCGACUUCGAAGGUUUUCAGGAUGAAAUAUAUAAAGCAGAACUAUGUUUUCAUAAGUAAUUAUAAUUAUAAUUAAUUCGUCACUACGAUGUAUGAUAUUCAAGAAUGUGAACAAAUGAAAUACUUGUGGAUUUAGCUCAAUAUAAGUACAGAGAUUGUCAAUGUGACUGUGAAUAUGAACCGAAAUCAAUUGUAAAUUACAAAUUGUUGUGUGCAUAUAUUGAAAAUGAUAUGGGCGAUAAGGAAGAGAAGCAAGUGAUAAGAACGAUGAAGUAUACAACAAUAACCAUCACAUACAUACGAUAUGGAAAUAUUGCAUGUUUAUUGUGCAUAACGUCAACGUGUGGUGGAAAUGGAAUAUGAUUCCAGACGUCUUUCUUCUGACCAUUUCAUUAAUUUAAUUUAUACUAAUUAUUACAGUGGUCCAUGUUCGCCACUAUGAUAGAGGAAUCCAUAAUUAGUGCCAAAUUUAGGGGUCCUUUUCAUACACCUGGCACUUUAAUUAAUCUGAUUUUCUUGUUAUAAUAUUUCAUACUAUAAUUUAAUUUAUUUAUAUAUUAUAUAUGUAUGAAUUAUGAUUGCUUUAUCGCUCUUUAUUUUAGAAUCAAGCAUAUAUGAUGAACCUAAAUCGAAAAGUUGACUUCUGAUUAACAUGGAGUAUUUUAUCGUUGCGUUUGGUUUUGCCUAUUUUAUUCAUACUUCGUUUUGGAGUUCUUAAAAUACGUAACAUUACAUGACGAUGCACUCACAGUUUAAGAUACUAUAUAUUUGAGUACGCCUUUAAUAUUUCUAAAAGGAUUAGGUAAGCCCACAAGCAUACAAAUAAGUCCUUAAGAAGUUUUCACUGAUAUGAAUUAACCCAAGAGUGUUUAUUUUGCAUGAUUCAUAAAAUAUAUGAUUAAGUAUUUUUAUUUUCAAAAAUAGAAUUUCUCUAAUCACACCUUUUCAAUAGAAUAUGAAUCAAGUCAUAUUAGUUUAAAUCAUAGAAAUAAUCAAGUAUUUUAGGAUAUCUCAAAGUUUCAAUUCAUCAAUGUAAACAAAAAAUUAGUCUUAUUAUUUUUACUUGUCAAGGUUAAUCCUCCAAAGUAAACGCUCUCUCAAUAAAUAAAAAAUACUAGUACUCAUUCUAUCUAGUAAAAAUGAUAGUAUUUUUUUGUUGGGUUAUCCAAGUAUAUAUAAUGGUCUAUUGGACUAUAACUAGAAUUUAAUUGAAAAUUUUAAGGAACCCUUUAUAUAUUACUCUCUCUCUACUUUUCUGCAUUGUCGUCUUUCGCCUCUCUUCCCUCGCUGCCUCUAAUUUGACCGAAUGAGCCUUUCCAAAAUUUCUUCUCUAGCUUCUACUAGUGUGUUUUUUGAAAAUCUUUUAUUUGAUUUUUGUUUCUGGAUCUAUUUUUUUUCCCCUUAAAAUUUUUAGAUAUUAGAAGGAAUUUGGAUACUAAUGCACAAGGGUUUGAGAUUUUACUUGAGGACUUUGUUUGUGCCCCGGAAUUGUGGAGCUGAAAAAUUGAAUGGCUGGAAAAGUAGACCUUUCUGUUUAAUGGUGUUUUGCUAUUUCUUCAAUUCGAUUUGAGUUACAUAAUUCUUUUGAAUUUCGAUUUGAAUUACUCUUGAAUUCGUUGAGCACGACGACUUCAUUUCGCUGAACUCAGCUGCUUUGGCAGGCGGAGAUGGUGUGUGUAGGGUGGAGCUAGGGAGACAACGAGGAAAGACGAUAAACGAGACGUCGACAGACAAGGCGAAGGAAUGCCUACGGCGUCGGCCUCUCCAGUUUUGAGAGCACACUAUAAAAAAAAUGCUAAUAGACAACGGUCAGAACUCGUUGUCUAUUACAACAACAACUGUUGUAAAUGAAAGCAUUGUCUAUUGAGGGACGGUCAUAGACGAAGGUCUGAAAACCGUUGUCUAUUCUCUAAUAGACAACGGCUGGGCUAUAAAUCGUUGUCUAUCAACGUAUAGACAACUAUUUUCAAAGUCCGUUGUCUAUAUCCAGUUGUCUAUUAGCUGAAUUCUUGUAGUGACAGCGGCGACGGUGAAAUUUUUAGGAAGAAAGAGUUCUUUGAUUAAUAAUAAUUUAAUAUCAAUUAAAUAUAACACUAAAUAUGUGGACCACACACCUUUCCCUUUAAUUUUACUCUUCUAAAUAUAUGUGCCCAAAAGAAACCAUCAAUACUGGGACGUAUGGAGUAUAAGUUAAUCAUUGCUUAUUAAGAUAAAUUGAUUUGAUAUAUUCCAAUGUCCUAUAUAAUUUCUAUCAUUUGAAGCGAUUUGAUUUAUAUCUUAUUAAAAAUGUGCGAUUGGAAAAUCGUUAAUAAUGAAGAAAAAAAAUAGUAAAUUCACUUAAUGUUAUACACUCUCCAUCUCAUUACAACUGUCACUUUUCAUAAUGAAAUGUCUCAUUAACUAAAAAAAAAAAUUAUUACACUCAAAGAAAGGAAAAACACACUCACACUUGGAGAAGCGUCUUACCAGCAGACUGCGCUUCAUUAUCAUGAAAUGUCUCAUCAUAAAUAUCUCAUUUCUUUUUUAGCAAUCUAUUAUCUCUCUAUCCCUAAUACUUAAAUAAUUUCCACUAACCCACUUUAUUUACUUUCUACACAUUUCUUAAUCUUCGUUCCCAAAAGUAAUGAGACAUUUGUAAUGGGACGGAGCGAGUAAUUAUGAACAUAAAAUUUACCACAUCAUAAAAGUUUCUAUUUUCUUCUAAUAUUUUAUAUAUUGAUUUUAAAUUUUAAAGAAUUAUGGACUUAUUUGUACCUAAAAAACUUUACGGACUUGAUCGUUUGAGGAAACAUUGAGUGUGUAUUUGACUCUUUAAUUUCUCUUAUAUAAAAAUAUAUCAUCAUCUUAUUUCAAAAAUAAAUUAUAUUCCGAUCGGGCCAAUUACAUAUACUAUAUAGAACAUAAUUUAAGUUCCUCCUAAAUUUAAAAUACUUGGCUCAGUUGUCAAGCAUACAAAAAUUGUCUGCAACCAAGAAAGAGAAUAGUUUAAAGAUUGGAGCAUCUCUAUUUGCGUAUCGUGUUUUUUUAGGCAAACAAAACUUCCACAACUUUUUUUUUAAUAUGCUUUAUUUUGAAGUUUGAAAAGGAUUCUUGCCAAAGGUAGUAGUAGCAAAUUUCGGGUGCGUACUAAUUUUCACAACUCAAAGUUCGAAACUAUUAUUUUUAAUAAUCGAUUUUUUUAAUUGUAUCGUUUCAAUGAUAUUAGAAUCAAGUAAAAUUAACUUAAAUGAUAUAAAUAAUCAAAGAAUCUUGGAAUUAGGACCAAUUCAUCGAAUUUUGAGCUAGAACUAUCGAGUUAUCGAAUUAUUCAAGUGCGGGUUAAUUAAAUUUUAAAAAAAAUUCGGAUUCGAAAUUUUCAAUCCUAACCCUAGACGUUCAGAUUUCAGCUAAUCGGGCUCGAAAAAAUAACGAGAAAAAUAUCAUAUAAUCAAAUAAACACAUUAUUUUCAGGUCAACCCUAUAAGAUUUGGGAUUACUUUCGGACCAAUUCUAUCAGGUGUCGGACUAUUCGAUUACGGAUUAUUCAGGCUGUAAUUUUAUCGGGUUGAAAAUUUUCAGUAAUAUCUCAAUCUUGCCAUACUUGCAAAACCUUUCCGCAAGCUGGCCUCAUACAUUACAAAUUGCAUCUGCACAAACUGUUUUUUCAAAAUCACAUUAAAUUGACUCAAGUCAUUUGAUACGAGAUUAAAAAAAAUACUUUCUACAAAGCGAGCCUUGUAGUCCACCGAAUUUCGCAUGAUAAAUUGAACUGGUUUCAUUAUUUGUCUAAACUCUUAUAGUCAACUUACUUAGGGCUCGUUUGGUUUUCAAUAAAGGAUUAUGUAGGAUAAUUUGUAAUCAUGAUAUUUAGCGUGGAUAAUGACAGAUUAUUAAUACUGAGUUGGUGUUUGCUAUCAUGGCUAAAUACAGAAUAUCUUGGUUUAAGUUAAUCCUGGGGGGAGGUGGUAUUAUUAAUCCUAAGAAAUCUGGAUUAAUAAUACUGGGUCGUGGGAUUAAACUGGGUCAUCCGCAUUAUUACUAAAUAAUACCAAACACUAGACUGAUCUGUACUAAAUUAGCUAAUACAGUGUAUUAGCCAAUAUCAAACACGCCCUUAAUGCAUUAGUAAGUGUGAUGUCAAUCAGAAGACUUUUUCGUUAUCUUAUUGACUCAUUAUUAGUAAGUUGUUCAAUAUUUUUUUAAAAACGAGAAAAAUAACGAAAAAUUGUAAAUUAGUGUAUUUUCCGUCAUACACAUCAGUACAUAUUCGCUUCGAGAUCAACAUAUGGUGGUAGAAAAACUAAAUGUUGUUAUUUCUUGACAAAAAGUGCCCCAAGUCUUUGGACCAAACAUACUUGUAAGUAUUUUAAUAGCAAAAAAGGUCGAUUUUUUCGCUUAUGAAUCUGUCACGAUUUAGCGUCUAAGUUCGUCCACUCAAUUGUUCAUACCAAGAACACAACAAUUUAGUUUGAUUUAUGGGCAAUGUUCAUUAAUGACUACGAGAUCUUUGGGGCUGUUUUCUUAGCAAAGACCAUAUAAUUACUUUCACACUUGAAUAAAUUAUGUGAGGUUAAGAAUGUAGACACUUAAAUUUCACGAAAGAAAAUAAUUUUUAUUAAUUUGAUAUCUUUAUUUAUUUUAAAAUAUCAUAAUAUUCAUGAUUAAAUAUGUUACAUUAUUGAAAGAUAUGUUGUCAUAUCUUAAAAGUUUAGAUCAAUUUCUUUGGCAACAAGUUAAAUUUUAAUACUAAUAUAUAUAGAUCUUUAAGAAUCCAAAGCUCUAAACUCCCUACAACUAUAAAUAGAGAUUUCCAAAUACCAAUUCUAAACACAUCAAAUCUUAAAAAAUCGAAACUCUAAAUUUUUUGUCCCGUCGAAGUUCAAGACCUUCUUUAUGAAAUCAACCUAAAAAGCUCAAGUCAAAUCUAAAACUUAAAUCAAGCCCAACAUUCGAUUUGAAAGCAAAAGCUCAAAUCAAACUCAACAUUCGAUUCGAUCUGAAAAUAAAAAUUCAAAUCACACCCAAUAUUCGUUCCAAAAACAAGGCGAAAACUCUCUAUAUCAACGUUAUAAAAGCCAAAGCUCAAGUCAAACCUGAAGCUUAAAUCAAGUCUAGUGUUCAACUCGGAAAACAAGACGGAGGCCCUCCAUAUUAACGUUAUAAAGCCCACGUACGAUGCAAAAAUAAGGCGAAGAUCUUCCACAUCAACGUUAUAAAGUCUCAAAGCUCAAGUCAAGUCCAACGUUAAAUCCUAAAAUAAGAUGAAAGCUCAAAGAUCAGCUCCAACAAAGUUCAAAGCUCAAGUCAAGCCCACCGUUAAAUUCCGAAAUAAGGUGAAAGCUCGAAGUUCAACUCUAAAAAGAUCCACCAACAAAUUUCAAGGACUAUUCAAAAACAUGAAGAGAAGAACCAUCCAAAGAUCACCGUAAAGAGAAAAAUGAAAUAGUAAAAUAGAGAUAACUAUUUGUGUUUUAGAUAUUAAAAUCAUAUGUAAUUUUAUAUUUAUUAAAUUAAAUAUAUAAAUUUGUGUUUACAAAUAAAUAGAUGGACAAUGAGAUAUCAAAAUUUGUCAACUGGAUCUGUAUCAAUUUGAUUGUCAAUUAUUUAUCGAAGUAAAAAAAAAUGUAAGAGUUGCAUAAAAAGAAAAAUUAUGUAAGAGUUACAAAUACGUCGCUUGAUAUCGAUUUUAAAUUGGAAUCUUAUCUCUUUUUAGGUGAGGAAAAAUAAUAACAUUUGACAAUUCGAAAGAAUGUAAGGUAUAAGUACUUUUAUCACAAUUUUAAAGAAUUCUAUAGACAAAAUGAUUAUUUCCUCAUACAAAAAUAAAUAGAAAUAUAUAUAUAUAUAUAUAUAUAUAUAUAUAUAUAUAUAUAUUAUAUAUAAAUGGGCGGGCCAAAAAAGCCCGAAAACCCCGGGCUUAAAAGCCCGAAACUCGGUAAGCCCGACGGGCCAAAAACCCCGGGCUUUUAGGCCCGAUUUUUUUUGGGCUCUAUUUUUUCAAGCCCAGCUAUUAGACACCCAAACCCACCGCAGACUUCAUCCACAUUCCUCCUACGAAACCCUAGAUCCCCUUUUCUGACUCAUCCGUCUUACGAUUUCCGACGAUCUCAGCAGCCUCCAUGGAGCUCUUGACUUAAUUAAAACUCAAGAAAGUUGGCAACCUAAAUAAGUUUGGAGAUACAAGGGGAGGCCGCAACGAAGUGAGAGAGGGGGGCGGAGGAAAUAGCGGCGGUGGGAGAUGGGGAAAGGGGAAGUGUCUGAUGGAGGUGGAGAAAGGGGGAGAGCCGACGGAGGUCGAGAUUCUGGGCAGAUCUGGGCGGUUGUGGCGGUGGUGAAGGAAGUGAGAAAGAAGGUAAGAGCCAACGGGGAGAGGGGGGAGGGGGAUGGGGAAGGGGGAGAUAGAGGGUGACGUGGGAGGGGGAAGAGAGAGAUAGGGUGACGUGGGGGGUGGGUGUGAUUUGGCAUUUCUGAUGCCACGUUGGCAUUCCGGCUGCCAAUUCAAAUUUAAUUUGGCCGAAAAAUUUAUCUGGACAUACAUUGCAACAAAUUGAAAGCUUGCUGAAAUUUUUACAACAAUUAAAAAGAUUGUCAAAAAAUAAAAUUUUGAUUAAAGUGGGGUAUUUCCAUGCAAUUUGCUCUUCUUUUUUCGCGUGGAUUUUAGUGAUUUUUUUUUAUGAAAAAUAAAAAUAACAAAUAAAUUAAUAAAAUCUAUAAAUAAAUCAAUAUAGCUCACGAAUGAUCGUAUUCAUUUAAUAUGUUGAAAAUAUAGUCCCUAAAAAAUUCAAUUUCAAAUAAAAAUAUAUAUUUAUACGUUAUAUUAAUUAAUUUGUUCGUAAAAAGUAUUAACUUAUUUGGACGUAUUCUCGAUUUACAAUAUAUUACACCUGUGAUUGAACGUAAAGUUGAUGGCACAAGAGACACGAGUGAUUGGGGUGCAGAGUCUGGGGACCAAAUUAUGAAAGAACCAACGGCGUCACCGGAUAUUUCGCAACUUUUACUACUACGACAAAUCCACAUAUAAUGGCAUCAUUAAUUAAUUAUUAAGAGUUAUUCUUAUGCAAAAUGAAAAUAAAAAUGUAAAGAGUUAUUUUUGAAUUAUUAUCUGAACUGGUUUUAUUAUGAUUUUCAAACCUAAAUUUUAAAAUAUUAUAAUUAUAACUUUAGUACAUAUCUUCAUUAUUUACGGUCAAAAUUUUCGACCAACUUAUAUAUAUUAAAUUGUUCUAUCUUCAAAAAUCAGACAUCAAAACUAGUGAUAUAUUUUUAAGCAAUUUAAAAUAUUUUUUUUGACUUGAAGGAGGGAGAACGGUGGAGUUUAAACCCUAAACCUCGUUAUUCGUAAACAGGAGUUCGCACCACUUGAAGACACUUAAAACUAGUGAUAUGUCUUUAAACAACUUAAAAUAUUUUUUAAACACCGAAAAAAUCAACAAAAAUUCUCUUAAGAUUUCUAAACAUUGUGACUCGAACUAUUAAGCGAAUAACAACGAUAAGUAUAAGCUAUAUUUGUAAUAUUUUUAAGUUCGAACUAAAAAGUUAUCAUAUAUAUAGUCAAAACUCGAACUAUAAUAUAUAUGUAAAAAUAAUCAUAUUAUUAAACGAUUUUUAGCCUCUCUUUUUUCUUGAGAUUACACACACUCACACACGCACACUUAAUAAUCUCUUUAGAUUAUUCGAAACCCAACCUAGCUAGCUAGUAAUAUAAAAAAAUCAUUUUACCAAUUUAUAUCGAAGUCGACUAACUUUUGUAAAUGAAAUGCACUAUACAUUACACUUGUGUCUUGACUAUAGAACUUUUCCAAGGCAUGCGUGUAUUAUGAUAUAUAUGUGUGUGUAUCAUGAAUAUUGAAUAAGUGCAAUCCCAUUAAGGGAUUGGUGCGUGACGACUCAUUCNACUUACUAUAUAUAUUAUACAACUAUAUUCAUGUAAAUUAUUCACAUUUUAGGGGGAAAAGAUUUACAUAAUCCACAAAAGAUAAAAGUAAAAUAGAAAAGAAAAUGUAUUGGGUCAGAUGAAGCGAUUUGGGCAUUGUAUAAGCCCAAUAUUGGCCCAGAUCCAGUUUUGCACAUCACCGACAUCUCAUACUUGUUCAAAUGUAAUAAUUCAAUGUGUGGUCGUGCUGGUUCAGCGAUAGAUGGUUAAUACACAAAGUUUGAAGUUCUGUGUUCGAGUUCAUCAUCCUUCGAUUUAUUUAUUCUUUUAUUUAUUUGUGCAAUUUAUGGAAAAGAAAAUCAUGCAUGAUCAGUCCAAUCAUCAACUUUGACAUUUAAUUUGUAAUCGAUAAAUACAGUUCUCAUGCGUAAGAUAAUUAAAUCAAUCAUUAUUAAUAAUUAAAAAAAACUCUUCAUUCAAAAUAAAAACCCUCUUCGGAUCUUCCUUCCCUCAUGCGUAAGAUUAUUAAAUCAUUAACUAUUCAUAAUUCAAAAAAAAAAAAAACUCUAUUCAUAAUUCAAAAUAAAAAACUCUUCCUUCCCUCCUGUAUAUUAAUGUUAUUCAAAUUAUCUCUAUUUUUACUUAGCGCAAUUCUUCCCAUUUUUGACAAAUUUUAAAACCCGGCUUCACAUAGUAUAUUAUAUAGAUUUCUUUGCGAUUGUGUUUACUUUGAUAGAUAAAUUUAUCCAUGAAAAAAGUAGGAUAACAAAAAUUUAUGCCUUAAAAUGUCUUCUUUCUUUUCUAACAUUUGACACACAAAAGAGAUGUUCAUCAUUUUUCCUUCCUUAUUUUCACUUCAAGGAUGGAUAAUAUUAUCCACUAAAAAAUGGAUGGAUAAUUAUUGGGUCUCGAAGGGUUGACUGAACAGGUGUAUGGGCUAUUUUUCGAAUCGAAAACACAUAAACCAAAACUUCAGUUGGAAAGUGGUUGUAGAUUGAUACUGAAGUAAAUUCAGUAUUUUGAUUUCAGUCAAGCACAGAGCUUUUACUGAUAUCCACGUGAAGCUUCAGUCUAGAGUUUUGUAAAACAGAGUGGAGUUACAAAUCUUACAAACUAUCAAUUGAUUGAUGAGUUAGACUAAUAACUCAGCAGAGGAAAUUUAAACUUAAUCCAAAUAGCCUUUAGCAAGUUUGUCACUUAAUAAAAUCCUUAGUUUACUUUUCAGUUAAGCAAGUUCAGUUAUAAAACAAGUUUAACGCAACUAGGGAAAUAACUUAAAGCAGAUAAAAAAUACAAAGAUUUUUACGUGGUUCGAAAAAUAAAUUCCUACAUCCACGGUCAGAUGAUUAGUCUGACAAACACUCUAGACUAAUGCUUACGGGUGCACAACAAACUUUGAAUUGAAUAUCAAAUUUUCAGUACCAACACACUGGGUUGGAUUUCUUGCUCGCUCUUAGCACGCUAAGACACACAAAUGCCUUUGUAGCGCUUGGCUGAGAUCUCUGGAGUUAGAACACUGGUCUGAACUCCUCUCUACUCAAACACUCUUUUCGCUCGGUUAAAAGGGGUUUGAAAUCUUCCAACUAAGAUUACUGAGAACAGGCUCUCAAGUAAUCGAUUAUAAGCUUAGGAUACAACAUGGGUUGCCUAGAUUUCUAAGAGAGUUUAGAUAAUCAGUUAAACUGAUUUUACAACAUUUGAGUACUUUCUUCUUCGAUUCAAAGUUUUGUCUAAGUUAAGGCUGGCUGACGAUUUUGACAGAGCUUCAGCGUAAGUCUUUGAAUCGAUGAAGAUUGAAGGCGAUCCUCGAACUCUAUUUAUAGGUGAAGUCCCAAAUAUAUCCGUUGGAGAUAUGGUCUUCAGGAUUUCAGCCGUUGUGAGAUGUUCCGUACUUUGGGCUGAGGCUUCAAUCUUCUUGGCUCCUGAUUGGUUGAAGGUUUGAACCAUUUUAGUCCUUGGAGCAUGGUGCUUCUGAACUUUAGCAUGAAAAAGGAAAGUUGGUGUACUGAAAAGGACGAUUUUCAUAUCUGGCACAUUUAAUGCUGUUGCAGAAGCAUUUAAUGCGUGUGCCAGCGUUUCAGUCUGAUGUAGAAUGUUGACUGAUAAACUCAAGUCGAAGGUUCGUUGUUUACACGUGUUUGCACAUGAUACUUAAGUUUAACUGAAGAAUCAAUUAGAGCUCUUGUCCUUCGCUUGAGCAGUCAUUGUCUUCAAUUAUAUUAUCUUCCUGUUUAACUGAACGUCUUUAGUUCACGAUGUCUUUUAAAUUACCAGUGUCUUCCUUCAGUUGUUCUAUCUUCAGUUGAGCUUUGAUCUUCUAAGUCUUCAGUCUUCAGUUUCUCUGGUCUUCAACAUGGAGAAACUUCAGUUACCUGUAACCUUCGGUCUAGCUAAAAGAUUGAACUCUAACAGUUGAGUUCAAAUACAGAGCUAGUCUAGGAGAAGAGAAAACUAAGGGUUUUAGGAUCAUCAAAACUGGGAUAGGAUAUUUAUUCUAUUUUCAACAAUAAUAUUAUCCAUCCUUGAAGUGAAAAUAAGGAAGAAAAAAUGCUUUUGUGUCAAAUGUUGGAAAAGAAAGAAGACAUUUUAAAGCAUAAAUUUUUGUUAUCCAUCAUUUUCCAUGAAUAAAUUUAUCCGUCAAAGUAAACACAGCCUACAUUAACUCCCUUCCCUUAUUCAAGAGAGAUAUCACUCUAAAAAGAGAUAAACACGUGUAUAUCCAUUCUCGUAUAAUAAAAAUGUAAAUCACAUAAGAGAAGUGGACUUCCUCAAAACAUACGUGUAACAACUUGCAAAUCACAAAUAGAAAACAAAACCAUACAUGUAAUUGCAUUAUAGAGAUCUCAUACGAGUGACUCAAUAUUUAAAGUGUUCGACAAUUAGAGCAUCCACAUUAAUUGAGUUAAACUUUGAUUCAUCCGUAUUUUAAGAUCACUUAUGAGUCGAGGACUGUACAAAUUUGACUUAUUUUACUGACUUUAUAAAAUUUGUUUUGACUUUUGAUAUUUUUAUUUAUUUUAAACGAUUAAAUCUACCUCUGCAUCGACGGACUCCCAUCGAAUCAGACGAUAUGGAUGUUAUUACAAAUUUUAGGCAUUUAGAUAGAGCUGUCAAAAUCAAUAUCUCUCUGUCCCAUUUAUCUUGACACUUUUACUUUAGACACGAAGAUUAAGAAUAAAUGAUUAAGAGUGUAAAGUGGGUAGUAUUCAUUUAUUUUAUGUUUAUAGAGAAGGUAGAGAUCACGUAAUAGUUUUGAAAAGUGCAAACUUAAAAGAAGUGGGAUGAGAUAAGUGGGACGGGAGGAAGUAGUACCCAAAAUGUUAUUGUGUCUCGGGGAAAAUUGGAAAUGGAAAAAAAAAUAUCAAUUCGGUUUUAGGUCGUGGACCGGAGCGGAGCGAUCCAGUAGGUCGGUAGAGGAUGGGAAAUAGACAGUGACGUGUAUUAUGUGGAAGAGCAGGAGUAUGGGCCAGAAGAAAGCCCAUCGCAGGGAAUUCCUGCUCUGCCGGCCCUCCACCCCAACUAUCCUGGUACUAAAAUCACAGCCAGUGACCGGAAUCUCAUCCUCUCAUAAAACCGUCUACAUUCAUUCCCCCUCUCCUUCUCGUCUCGUCUCGUCAAACCCACGCUUCUCCUCCUCCUCCUCCUCAUAUAUUACUAUUAUACUCCCUCUUUCAUCAUCAUUAACCUUUUCACUAUUUACAUCUCGAUUUCUCCAAUUAUCUCUCCAUUUCUCAUUUUUCUUUCUAUGGAACCUUCCGUCACAGUUGACGCCGCUCCUUUCUCCUGUAGCUGUCCCUGCUGUCUGCUCUCUUGAUUCUCACUUCUUCCGUGCUCGAUUUCAAUCUCUGUAGGAAGCAUUACUUCUCACUUCUGUUGUUUAUAUUAGCUUGUUUUUAAUUGAGUUUCUGGUUAUGGAUUUGACUCAACCGCCGGCAAACAAAGGUCUUUCGCUAGGGUUUCUGUCCCACGCAUCUGAUACGCCUCCGUUGGUGAAAAGCAACCGGAUCCCUAGCCCUAAAAUCGCCGACGAUUCGAUUUCUUUUCAGAUCGAGUCGCGCAGUAGGGACCCUUCGCAUCCGCUGCCGCCUGUUCCACUUCAAUUGAUGGACCAGCAGAAGGAGAAUCACCAUAAUUAUUUUCGUGGGGGCAACGAUUUGAAUGAAACUAGGGAUGUUGAGGAGGAAGAGGAUGAGGAGAAGUUGGAGGAGUUUCGCAUUUUGGGGCACUCGAUGACUCUGAAGCGGAAGCGCGACUGCGACUCAGGCUGGUCAUCGGCGUCGCCACCUUCCUCCUCCAAGGGGGUUAGGGUUUCGUCGAACAGCGACAUGGAAUCUCGGAGGAUGGCUGUCCGGUCGUGGGGGAAUCAGAGCUUGCGGGAUGCUGACCCGGAUAUCUUUGAGAUAAUGGAGAAAGAGAAAGGGAGGCAGUUCAAAGGGAUUGAAUUGAUUGCCUCUGAGAAUUUUGUGUGCAAAGCUGUGAUGGAGGCGUUGGGCAGCUACCUUACUAAUAAGUACUCUGAAGGAAUGCCUGGUGCGCGGUAUUAUGGUGGGAAUCAGUACAUUGAUGAGAUUGAAACACUGUGUUGUGAGCGUGCCUUGACUGCUUUCAGCCUUGAUUCCGAGGGUUGGGGUGUAAAUGUACAGCCGUAUUCAUGUACAUCUGCAAAUUUUGCAGUGUAUACUGGGCUUUUGCUUCCGGGUGAUAGGAUAAUGGGAUUGGAUACACCUUCCGGAGGGAACACGAGUCACGGGUGCUAUUUACCCAAUGGGCGAAAAAUGUCUGGAGCCUCGAUCUUUUUUGAGAGUUUGCCUUAUAAGAUUAAUCCGCAGACAGGCUAUGUAGACUAUGAUAAGCUUGAGGAGAAGGCACUUGAUUUUCGCCCCAAGAUAUUGAUUUGUGGUGGAAGUUCGUAUCCUCGGGAGUGGGAGUAUGCAAGGUUGAGGAAGAUAGCAGAUAAAUGCGGUGCUGUGUUGUUGUGCGACAUGGCUCAAAUUAGCGGCCUUAUAGCUGCUAAGGUGAAAUUCUUUAUUCCUUCUUACGAGUUGAAUUUGUAUCUUUUGUAAGUUUUGCUACUUUACUUUUGGAGCACUUUCUUGUGAAUUUUGUUUCGUGUUGUCCAUUUUGUUGAAUAAUUACUUUUGUUUUCUAAAUUCUGAAGUAUUGAUUAUGCAAGUUGGUUUAGAGAUAAAAAAUCAAUUUAAUUUAUGAACAAGUAGUUUAUUUUUUAAAUCCUUUUAUUUUUGGGAAAUUUUCGUACUUAUCCAGCCUGUAUGCAUAAUUAGCAUGGCAUGGCAUGGCUUCCUUUAAUGAUUUCUUGGGUCAAAGUGAAUUUUAUCCAAUGGAACAUGCGGUAUGCAUUAUUUUUGUAGCUUACUGGUUUACCGGUUUGGAUGCAUUUACUUUAGGAUUCUACCAUUUUAGUAGAAGCCAAUGAUUCAAUACGUAUUCCUCAAAAUUUAUCUUUCUUAUACAUUUUCUUAUCAAAAUUUUCCGUACUGGUCUUGUAAUAAUUUAUCCAACUCUCUUUAAAUGCCAGAGCUUGCUUUCUACUUUUGAUUAGAUGCCCUUUUCCUGUUCUUGAUUACACGAUUUAGCAUUUAAUAUAAUCAUUUUGUUGCAGGAAUGUGCAAGCCCUUUUGAAUAUUGUGAUAUUGUAACCUCUACAACUCAUAAAAGUCUUCGAGGACCUAGGGGAGGAAUUAUUUUCUACAGAAGGGGCCCAAAACUUAGAAAGCGAGGGAUGCAUUUGAAUCAAGGAGAUGGUGUUGAUAAAUAUGACUUUGAGGAGAAGAUAAACUUUGCUGUUUUCCCUGCAAUGCAAGGUGGGCCGCACAAUAAUCACAUUGCAGCGCUUGCCAUAGCUUUGAAACAAGUGGCUACUCCCGAGUACAAGACGUACAUGCAACAAGUGAAGAAAAAUGCUCAUGCUUUAGCAUCAGCUUUGAAGAAAAGGCACUGUAAACUUGUAACUGGGGGCACUGAUAAUCAUAUGCUGAUAUGGGAUCUAAGGAAUUUUGGAGUGACAGGCAUGAAUUCCACAUCUUGCCUUUCUUUUUAACUUACAGAUUUCUCUUGUUCUUUCUCUUGGAUCUUGCUGGCCUGUUUGUGGGAUUAGGUUCUGCAAACAUUCUACUUUACUUUUUUAAGAAGUGAGUGUAGGAGGCGAGAGAACUAAAAUUUGGACUGCUUGUUAAAGAAUAUUUGUUCCAUGAUCCUUCUGUGUAUCUGGGACCUUUGAAGAAGCUUGAAGUUUGUGUGUUUUGCUAACAUACAUGCUACUGUAGAAAUUUGUCAGAAGGAAUAUAUCAAUGUAUAUAUGGUUUCUUUUUGUGAAAUUGUGUAUCGCCUUUGUCUGUGGUUUGUUUCUUUUAGUUGUCUUGAUUGUGUAACUAUUAAAGUGAGAGAUGAAUCAUUUGGCGCUUCUAGCAGAAUUGAGUUUAUUAAUUACUAUCUGCUGGUGUAACUGUUGGAGCACGUCAUAAUCUUUUCCAUGCUUUUGAUGAUAUGCAGGCUAUAUUCUUGAGAAGAUCUGCGAGUUGUGUCACAUUACGCUCAAUAAAGUCACAAUCUUUGAUGACAAUGGCAAUAUCACCCCAGGAGGUGUAAGGAUUGGUAAGUCCAUUUAAACUCCAGUUAAUGGGUGUAUUUUUAAGUUCUGAAAAUGGUUUAUGCAGUGAUUUUGUGCUGAUGAGUGAUAAGUUGCCAUUAUAUUCCCACAGGUACUCCUGCAAUGACAUCAAGAGGUUGUGUUGAGUCUGAUUUUGAUGUUAUGGCCGACUUUCUCCUCCAAGCUGUACAUAUUGCUAGUUCAGUGCAGAGAGAUCACGGAAAACUGCCAAAAUCUUUCCUGAAGGGGCUCGAGAACAACAAAGAAAUUGUUGAGCUCCGAGCACGAGCAGAAAGUUUUGCUUCUCAAUUUGCUAUGCCUGGAUUUGAUUGAUGAUUUGGUCUCCAGGGAUGGGUUAUGGUCAGAUGAAUCCAUUUGUCUGUCCAAGUCUCGUGACUUGUACAAUACAUGGUAACGUUUCGUUGACACUCAAUUUUUUCUUAUGGCCAUUUUGUGUGCUUGGCAUACGCUGACUGAAUUACGGAUGUGCCAUGAUGCUAGUCAUUGUGCCUGUGGAAUGCUGACAUGUUGGAAUGCCAACGCGUUCCCCCUAGGUAGUAAGACACGUUUGAGGUCAUUUUUGAAUCGUUGCCUGGGGGCUGGAGGGACGACCUUAUUAUCCGCUAUUAUUUAGUCCUGGUGACUCAGGGUUCAUAUUUUGUGUAAAGUUUUUAUACUUGCUAUUAUAUAAAGAGUUCACUUGAUCAUUGAAUUUGUUGGGGCUGGGGGAUUGUUAUGUCUUAUUAUUAUUAUAUAUAUGUAUGUAUGUGUACGAUUAUCAGGUGAUUUUAUGUAUUUGUAAAAGGAGAUUUUGUCACAUGCAACUGCGGCUUUUAGAUUACUAGUUUAGGGCAAGUUUGGGACACCUUCAAAAUCAAAAGGUUAUGUUCAUUCUCUCUCUCUCUCUCUCUACCCCAUCUCUAGGGUAUGUGGUUGAUCGUCCAUUAAAAUUCUCAAUUCCAAAGGGUAUCAUUUGAAGAUCGUAUUCUGUUCGAAUCUUGCUGAACUUCUCUCUCCAUUUUCCGUUAAUAGUUCAACUUCUACACCGUUUUUGUAUUAAAUUAUACCUAUGAAACAAGCAAAAUUGGCCGGAAAACCAAUUUCAAUCGGAGUAGCUCUAUUGGGAUUUUGUGUAAAUUCAAUUUUUUAACAAGUUUCAACCUCUGGCAUUACAAAAAUUAUUUUACACGUGUUUCAACGUCAAAGCACACUAAAUUUGCAAUGAACCUAUUCAAUUUUCAAAUACCAUAAAAAGUGUAAAUUACACAUAGUUCUCGAU
Molecule: long non-coding RNA, 23073 nt
Filed under: Salvia miltiorrhiza (redroot sage)
Lineage: Eukaryota; Viridiplantae; Streptophyta; Magnoliopsida; Lamiales; Lamiaceae
Description: long non-coding RNA (SMIL_LNC007534)
Source: RNAcentral